GCGGGGAUAGCUCAGUUGGGAGAGCGUCAGACUGAAGUUGCAACUUCUGUCUCCAUUAAUCUGAAGGUCGUGCGUUCGAUCCGCACUCACCGCA
Molecule: transfer RNA, 94 nt
Filed under: Poronia punctata
Lineage: Eukaryota; Fungi; Ascomycota; Sordariomycetes; Xylariales; Xylariaceae
Description: tRNA-Phe
Rfam family: tRNA
About the family: Transfer RNA (tRNA) molecules are approximately 80 nucleotides in length. Their secondary structure includes four short double-helical elements and three loops (D, anti-codon, and T loops).
Source: RNAcentral